RNAcentral lists this ribosomal RNA (472 nucleotides) under uncultured bacterium. RNAcentral's name for it is "bacterial SSU rRNA". It matches the Rfam family "Bacterial small subunit ribosomal RNA", at positions 355 to 825 of the family's 1533-position model. The record is from RNAcentral.
UCGGGAAUUUUGGGCAAUGGGCGAAAGCCUGACCCAGCAACGCCGCGUGAAGGAUGAAGGUCUUCGGAUUGUAAACUCCUGUCGACCGGGACGAAUGCACUCGACCUAAUACGUCGGAAUGUUGACGGUACCGGUGGAGGAAGCCACGGCUAACUCUGUGCCAGCAGCCGCGGUAAUACGUAGGGUGCAAGCGUUAAUCGGAAUUACUGGGCGUAAAGCGUGCGCAGGCGGUUGUGUAAGUCAGAUGUGAAAUCCCCGGGCUCAACCUGGGAAUUGCAUUUGAGACUGCACGGCUAGAGUGUGUCAGAGGGGGGUAGAAUUCCACGUGUAGCAGUGAAAUGCGUAGAGAUGUGGAGGAACACCGAUGGCGAAGGCAGCCCCCUGGGUUAACACUGACGCUCAUGCACGAAAGCGUAGGGAGCAAACAGGAUUAGAUACCCCCGUAGUCCCUGAGCGGGCUGGCAAGGCGCAU